CGCCUCUUGAUUACUAUAAGAGGUCCCGCCUGCCCUGUGACAAUGUUUAACGGCCGCGGUAUUUUGACCGUGCGAAGGUAGCGUAAUCACUUGUCUUUUAAAUGAAGACCUGUAUGAAAGGCAUCACGAGAGUUUAACUGUCUCUAUUUUCUAAUCAAUGAAAUUGAUUUUCCCGUGAAGAAGCGGGAAUAAUACCAUUAGACGAGAAGACCCUAUGGAGCUUCAAACACUUAGAUUAAUUUUGCAAAAUAUUUUUUACCCCAAGGGCUAAACCACAUAUAAUAUUUUUAAUUUAACUGUUUUUGGUUGGGGUGACCAAGGGGAAAAACAAAUCCCCCUUAUCGAUUGAGUACUAAGUACUUAAAAACUAAAGCGACAGCUUUAGUUGAUAAAAUAUUUAUCGAACAAUGACCCAGGACUUACUGAUCAAUGAACCAAGUUACCCUAGGGAUAACAGCGCAAUCCUUUCCAAGAGUCCCUAUCGCCGAAAGGGUUUACGACCUCGAUGUUGGAUCAGGACAUCCUAAUGGUGUAACCGUUAUUAAGGGUUCGUUUGUUCAACGAUUAAUAGUCCU
This 575-nucleotide ribosomal RNA is filed under the name Squatina formosa (Taiwan angleshark). Its description in RNAcentral is "partial 16S ribosomal RNA". It matches the Rfam family "Bacterial large subunit ribosomal RNA", at positions 1832 to 2597 of the family's 2925-position model. The record is from RNAcentral. Lineage: Eukaryota; Metazoa; Chordata; Chondrichthyes; Squatinidae.